Molecule: unclassified non-coding RNA, 338 nt
Filed under: uncultured fungus
Lineage: Eukaryota; Fungi
Description: sequence contains ITS1
Rfam family: 5.8S ribosomal RNA (bases 1-105)
Source: RNAcentral
GAAAUGCGAUAAGUAGUGUGAAUUGCAGAAUUUAGUGAAUCAUCGAAUCUUUGAACGCACAUUGCGCCUCCUGGCAUUCCAGGGGGCAUGCCUGUUCGAGCGUCAUUAAAAGCCCUCAGGUGAGCCGCCAAGCUCGCCUGGUGCUGGGGGAUGGUAACUGGCGUCUUCGGGCAGCCGCCCACCCCCGAAAUCCAACGGCGGACGACACACCGGUGGAAAACUGCUGGCGUAGUGAGCAAUGCUUUCGCCAGCCGCCACCGAGUGACGGUCUAGCCGGUUUAGAACCCCCACAACCAACGGUUGACCUCGGAUCAGGUAGGGAUACCCGCUGAACUUAA